Molecule: ribosomal RNA, 433 nt
Filed under: uncultured bacterium
Lineage: Bacteria
Description: partial 16S ribosomal RNA
Rfam family: Bacterial small subunit ribosomal RNA
Source: RNAcentral
AACGAACGCUGGCGGCAUGCCUAACACAUGCGAGUCGAACGAGACCUUCGGGUCUAGUGGCGCACGGGUGCGUAACGCGGGGGAACCUACCCUUAGGUUCGGAAUAACUCCCCGAAAGGGGUGCUAAUACCGGAUAAUCUCUUCGGACCAAAGAUUUAUCGCCUUUGGAUGGGCCCGCGGUGGAUUAGCUAGUUGGUAGGGUAAAAGCCUACCAAGGCGACGAUCCAUAGCUGGUCUGAGAGGAUGAUCAGCCACACUGGGACUGAGACACGGCCCAGACUCCUACGGGAGGCAGCAGUGGGGAAUAUUGGACAAUGGGCGAAAGCCUGAUCCAGCAAUGCCGCGUGAGUGAUGAAGGCCUUAGGGUUGUAAAGCUCUUUUACCCGGGAUGAUAAUGACAGUACCGGGAGAAUAAGCUCCGGCUAACUCCGUG